RNAcentral lists this ribosomal RNA (255 nucleotides) under uncultured bacterium. RNAcentral's name for it is "partial 16S ribosomal RNA". It matches the Rfam family "Bacterial small subunit ribosomal RNA", at positions 524 to 776 of the family's 1533-position model. The record is from RNAcentral.
UACGUAGGGGGCAAGCGUUGUCCGGAAUCAUUGGGCGUAAAGCGCGUGUAGGCGGUCCGGUAAGUCGGCUGUGAAAGUCCAGGGCUCAACCCUGGGAUGCCGGUCGAUACUGCCGGACUAGAGUUCGGAAGAGGCGAGUGGAAUUCCCGGUGUAGCGGUGAAAUGCGCAGAUAUCGGGAGGAACACCUAUGGCGAAGGCAGCUCGCUGGGACGUUACUGACGCUGGAGACGCGAAAGCGUGGGGGAGCAAACAGG